UUCACUGUGAGACUGUUGCUAAUACACUGU
RNAcentral lists this non-coding RNA (30 nucleotides) under Mus musculus (house mouse). Lineage: Eukaryota; Metazoa; Chordata; Mammalia; Rodentia; Muridae. The record is from RNAcentral.